Molecule: ribosomal RNA, 1391 nt
Filed under: metagenome
Description: bacterial LSU rRNA
Rfam family: Bacterial large subunit ribosomal RNA
Source: RNAcentral
UAACGCCGAGAUGUGAUGGGGAGGCCGCAAGGCCAUAAACGGGCUGAUCCCACGCUGCCGAGAAAAGCCUCGUAGCGAGUCAAUAUGAUGUCCGUACCGCAAACCGACACAGGUAGGUGGGUGGAAUACACCAAGGGGCGUGAGAGAACACUCCCUAAGGAACUAUGCAAUUUAGCCCCGUAACUUCGGGAGAAAGGGUGCCACGAGUAGGUAAGUCUGUACAAGGCAAGCUGAACGUGGUUGCAAUAAAGUGGCUCUAGCGACUGUUUACCAAAAACACAGGACUCUGCAAACACGAUAGUGGAUGUAUAGGGUCUGACGCCUGCCCGGUGCUGGAAGGUUAACCGGAGGAGUUAGCCGCAAGGCAAAGCUUUGAAGGGAAGCCCCAGUAAACAGCGGCCGUAACUAUAACGGUCCUAAGGUAGCGAAAUUCCUUGUCGGGUAAGUUCCGACCUGCAUGAAUGGCGUAACGACUGGAGCGCUGUCUCAGGGAGUGACUCAGCGAAUUUGUUGUUCCGGUGAAGAAGCCGGGUGCCCGCAACUAGACGGAAAGACCCUGUGCACCUUUACUACACCUUGACAUUGGGUGUUGGAAGGAUCUGUGUAGGAUAGGUGGGAGGCUGUGAGACUUGGCCGCUAGGUCAGGUGGAGCCGACGUUGAAAUACCACCCUGAUUGUUCUGAUAUUCUAACCUGGCCCUGUGAUCCAGGGCAGAGACAGUGUCUGGCGGGUAGUUUGACUGGGGCGGUCGCCUCCCAAAAGGUAACGGAGGCGCCCAAAGGUUCCCUCAGGCUGGUCGGUAAUCAGCCGUCGAGUGUAAAGGCAGAAGGGAGCUUGACUGCGAGAGCGACAGUUCGAGCAGAGACGAAAGUCGGGCUUAGUGAUCCGGUGGUUCUGCGUGGAAGGGCCAUCGCUCAACGGAUAAAAGGUACGCCGGGGAUAACAGGCUGAUCUCCCCCAAGAGUUCACAUCGACGGGGAGGUUUGGCACCUCGAUGUCGACUCAUCGCAUCCUGGGGCUGAAGCUGGUCCCAAGGGUUAGGCUGUUCGCCUAUUAAAGCGGUACGAGAGUUGGGUUCAGAACGUCGUGAGACAGUUCGGUCCCUAUCUGUUGUGGGCGGAGGAGAGUUGAGAGGGGCGUUCACUAGUACGAGAGGACUGUGAAGGAUGAACCUCUGGUGUGCCGGUUGUCGUGCCAACGGCAGUGCCGGGUAGCUAUGUUCAGUUGGGAUAACCGCUGAAAGCAUCUAAGCGGGAAGCCUGCCUCAAGAUAAGCUCUCCCGGGGCGCAAGCCCCCUAAAGGACACUUGUAGACUACGAGUUUGAUAGGCUGGGUGUGGAAGGCUCGUAAGGGCUGUAGCUAACCAGUACUAAUCGUCCGUGCGGCUUAAC